UACAGAGGGGGCAAGCGUUGUUCGGAAUUACUGGGCGUAAAGGGCGCGUAGGCGGCCCGCUAAGUCGAACGUGAAAUCCCCAGGCUCAACCUGGGAACUGCGUCCGAUACUGGCAGGCUUGAAUCCGGGAGAGGGAUGUGGAAUUCCAGGUGUAGCGGUGAAAUGCGUAGAUAUCAGGAGGAACACCGAUGGCGAAGGCAGCUCACUGGGACGGUACUGACGCUGAGACGCGAAAGCGUGGGGAGCAAACAGG
This 253-nucleotide ribosomal RNA is filed under the name uncultured bacterium. RNAcentral describes it as "partial 16S ribosomal RNA". It matches the Rfam family "Bacterial small subunit ribosomal RNA", at positions 524 to 776 of the family's 1533-position model. The record is from RNAcentral.